RNAcentral lists this ribosomal RNA (448 nucleotides) under uncultured bacterium. RNAcentral's name for it is "bacterial SSU rRNA". It matches the Rfam family "Bacterial small subunit ribosomal RNA", at positions 328 to 793 of the family's 1533-position model. The record is from RNAcentral.
GCCCCAGACUCCUACGGGAGGCAGCAGUGGGGAAUAUUGCACAAUGGGGGAAACCCUGAUGCAGCGACGCCGCGUGAGUGAAGAAGUAAUUCGUUAUGUAAAUCUCUAUCAGCAGGGAAGAAAAUGACGGUACCUGAGUAAGAAGCCCCGGCUAACUACGUGCCAGCAGCCGCGGUAAUACGUAGGGGGCAAGCGUUAUCCGGAUUCACUGGGUGUAAAGGGAGCGUAGACGGCCAUGCAAGCCUGGAGUGAAAGCCCGGGGCCCAACCCCGGGACUGCUCUGGGAACUGUGCGGCUGGAGUGCGGGAGGGGCAGGCGGAAUUCCUGGUGUAGCGGUGAAAUGCGUAGAUAUCAGGAGGAACACCGGCGGCGAAGGCGGCCUGCUGGACCGCGACUGACGUUGAGGCUCGAAAGCGUGGGGAGCAAACAGGAUUAGAUACCCUCGUAC